AAGUCGUAACAAGGUUUCCGUAGGUGAACCUGCGGAAGGAUCAUUAAAGUAUUCUUAUAUGUGUCUAAACAACACAUGUAUUUACUCUGUGAACUUGGUUAAAUAUAAGACCAAACAUCAGUAGAUGUUGGUCGAAUAUAUUACUCUUUAUUCUUGAUGACAUUAUUAUAUUUUUAAUAUAAAUACAACUUUUAACAAUGGAUCUCUUGGCUCCU
Molecule: unclassified non-coding RNA, 215 nt
Filed under: fungal sp.
Lineage: Eukaryota; Fungi
Description: partial internal transcribed spacer region
Rfam family: Eukaryotic small subunit ribosomal RNA (bases 1-46)
Source: RNAcentral